AUUGAACGCUGGCGGCAGGCCUAACACAUGCAAGUCGAGCGGUUGAAGGGAGCUUGCUCCUGGAUUCAGCGGCGGACGGGUGAGUAAUGCCUAGGAAUCUGCCUGGUAGUGGGGGAUAACGUCCGGUAACGGGCGCUAAUACCGCAUACGUCCUGAGGGAGAAAGUGGGGGAUCUUCGGACCUCACGCUAUCAGAUGAGCCUAGGUCGGAUUAGCUAGUUGGUGGGGUAAAGGCCUACCAAGGCGACGAUCCGUAACUGGUCUGAGAGGAUGAUCAGUCACACUGGAACUGAGACACGGUCCAGACUCCUACGGGAGGCAGCAGUGGGGAAUAUUGGACAAUGGGCGAAAGCCUGAUCCAGCCAUGCCGCGUGUGUGAAGAAGGUCUUCGGAUUGUAAAGCACUUUAAGUUGGGAGGAAGGGCAGUAAGUUAAUACCUUGCUGUUUUGACGUUACCAACAGAAUAAGCACCGGCUAACUUCGUG
This 484-nucleotide ribosomal RNA is filed under the name uncultured bacterium. RNAcentral describes it as "partial 16S ribosomal RNA". It matches the Rfam family "Bacterial small subunit ribosomal RNA", at positions 30 to 507 of the family's 1533-position model. The record is from RNAcentral.